Molecule: ribosomal RNA, 369 nt
Filed under: uncultured organism
Description: bacterial SSU rRNA
Rfam family: Bacterial small subunit ribosomal RNA
Source: RNAcentral
CGGAGGGUGCAAGCGUUAUCCGGAAUCAUUGGGUUUAAAGGGUCCGCAGGCGGACUUAUAAGUCAGUGGCGAAAGCCUACAGCUUAACUGUAGAACUGCCAUUGAUACUGUAAGUCUUGAAUUCGGUCGAAGUGGGCGGAAUAUGACAUGUAGCGGUGAAAUGCUUAGAUAUGUCAUAGAACACCGAUAGCGAAGGCAGCUCACUAGGCCUGGAUUGACGCUCAUGGACGAAAGCGUGGGGAGCAAACAGGAUUAGAUACCCUGGUAGUCCACGCCGUAAACUAUCAAUACUCGUUCUCGGCGAUAUACAGUCGGGGACUAAGCGAAAGUAGAUAAGUAUUAGCACCUGGGAGUACGAUCGCAAGGUUG